This is a long non-coding RNA of Herpailurus yagouaroundi (jaguarundi), 1267 nucleotides long. RefSeq lists it as uncharacterized. The transcript has 4 exons. The record is from RefSeq and is a predicted model, not a curated record. NCBI's taxonomy places the organism in Eukaryota, Metazoa, Chordata, Mammalia, Carnivora, Felidae.
GUUAAGAGUUGAAUAAAAGCCAUUGUUUAGUUGAACAUAUAUUUACUGUAAGACAUGGGAAUACCAAGACCGGUAAGACAUGGUGUCCGCUCUCAUGGAGCUAGCUCAAGGCAACCGCUAUGUAUGUAACUGUGGUUAUUCGUUAUGAGGGAUAAAGGAAAAGAAGCUCGUACGUUUAUUCUGCCGUAUAACUAACAAGUUUACAGGUAAUGCUCUGGUACCGUGAAAGCAAAGUUCCAGCACGUCACAGUCAAUCCCAACAGUUCUGCGCAAACUAACGAUAGGCAAGGAAAGGAGAAAAGUGUGAACGCACACGAUGGCCAACAUUUCCUCCUUUCUCUGUCUGUCGUUUUGUCUGACCUGACAAGGGGGCUGAGGUGCAGGAGCGCAGGGCUCGGAGCAGGCACCGGGCCCCGAACAUCGCGCUGCUGCCGCAAGCUCUCCUCGGGACCAGCACGGAUCCCGGCGGACAGGGAGGAGCGGAGACAACACAGCCAGCUGACUAAGCCUAAAAUACCACGCGCCGUAGCCAGCAGAGACACUUCAGGGACCCGCGUCUUUUCCAAACCCACAGACCACACCGCCUCCCCCAGCUGAAACACGCGCGGCCACCGCCCCUACGCCACAAGCCAACGUCAACGUCAUCACGCUACAAGGAGACCAAGAAGGAGCGUGCGCACUGGUGUUGUUGCUGGAGCAACUGAGGAGCACAGCUGGGAUGAGGUCUGAAAGGUCUUCAUUUCUACAGCUUCCAGUUGAUGCUGAAGGACACUGAGAGGCAAGGAGUGACUGAUGCACAGGGAAAGCCUCCAGGAGACUUAGUUGUUGAGAGGAUUAGCCUGAGGAUAUCGGCCAUUCCUGAGUUCUGAGCACAAAGACGAGGCACAGACCCUUGCUUAAGUCACAGUUGUGUGGUAUCAGACAUCUAAACAGACAAGUGCAUAAGAGUGAUAGGAUGCCAGAGAUGGCUUACUGGAGAAGGUAACCCUCUGACGACUGAAGAGUAACUUGAAGGGACUCUGUUUAUGCAAUUCAGAGAAGGCACGACAGUGUGAAGAUGUUGGGGAGAGGCUAGAGGGAAUGUUGGCCAUUGCCUGCCGGAAUCUUCAAAUCUCUUUUUUCCAACACAGUUAUCUGCAUUUGUUUGACCAGGAAACAAUGACCCUUUUAAGUUUAUCCCCCCACCACCAAUUAAAAAAAAUUCUGUAAUUCAGUGACAAUCAUGAAAAGGUUUCUAUCUAAUUAAAAGAAAGAAGGGCUAAUAACA